This 460-nucleotide ribosomal RNA is filed under the name uncultured bacterium. RNAcentral describes it as "partial 16S ribosomal RNA". It matches the Rfam family "Bacterial small subunit ribosomal RNA", at positions 338 to 795 of the family's 1533-position model. The record is from RNAcentral.
CCUACGGGAGGCAGCAGUGAGGAAUAUUGGUCAAUGGACGAGAGUCUGAACCAGCCAAGUAGCGUGAAGGAUGACUGCCCUAUGGGUUGUAAACUUCUUUUAUAUGGGAAUAAAAUGUUCCACGUGUGGGAUUUUGUAUGUACCAUAUGAAUAAGGAUAGGCUAACUCAGUGCCAGCAGCCGCGGUAAUACGGAGGAUCCGAGCGUUAUCCGGAUUUAUUGGGUUUAAAGGGAGCGUAGGUGGAUUGUUAAGUCAGUUGUGAAAGUUUGCGGCUCAACCGUAAAAUUGCAGUUGAAACUGGCAGUCUUGAGUACAGUAGAGGUGGGAGGAAUUCGUGGUGUAGCGGUGAAAUGCUUAGAUAUCACGAAGAACUCCGAUUGCGAAGGCAGUUCACUGGACUGCAACUGACACUGAGGCUCGAAAGUGUGGGUAUCAAACAGGAUUAGAUACCCUAGUAGUC